This 83-nucleotide transfer RNA is filed under the name Sphaerodactylus townsendi. RNAcentral's name for it is "tRNA-Ala". Lineage: Eukaryota; Metazoa; Chordata; Lepidosauria; Squamata; Sphaerodactylidae. The record is from RNAcentral.
AGGGUCAUGGUUCAGUGGUAGAACAUCUGCUAGGCUUGCAGAAGGUCCUGGGUUCAAUUUUUGGCAUCUUACCUAAGACCCUG